Molecule: long non-coding RNA, 329 nt
Organism: Calypte anna (Anna's hummingbird)
Lineage: Eukaryota; Metazoa; Chordata; Aves; Apodiformes; Trochilidae
Exons: 3
Source: RefSeq, a predicted model, not a curated record
GCCCGGUCCCUGCGCUCACGGGUCGGAUCGCUGUGCCGCUGGGGUGUCGGUCAGACCCCGGGAGGAAACGGGUAGUGGCAAGGAGCGCCCGUCGGGAGGCAGACGGGAGCCCACCCACCCACGGGUCUCCCCGGCCGUGGCAGCGGCGGGUUUAUCCACAGCACAAGACCACGGGGAAGCUGGGAGAUGCCUACUCCAGAGAAGGAAUUCUCGAAGCUGCUGGAGCUGUUCCCCCAGCUGGUGCAGCAGCCAUGUUGACAAGCUUAAGUUGAAAGAAGUGCACCCUUGAAGAGACAACCCUGAUGCUGUUUCACCUGUAGCACUAGGUU